CGGUUGCUUGCGAGUAGAUAUUAAAGCCUCAUUUCAUACACCACGACCAAAACGAUUAUCAGGAAGGAUAAGUUUUAUUUCCUUCUUCUUGUCCGUCUCUAACCGUUUUCUCGUGAGCAGCCUAUUCUAUUUU
Molecule: non-coding RNA, 133 nt
Filed under: Methanosarcina barkeri str. Fusaro
Lineage: Archaea; Methanobacteriati; Methanobacteriota; Methanomicrobia; Methanosarcinales; Methanosarcinaceae
Description: Archaeal Small RNA 154
Rfam family: Archaeal Small RNA 154
About the family: Exclusively expressed under nitrogen deficiency, has a central regulatory role in nitrogen metabolism affecting nitrogenase and glutamine synthetase by masking the ribosome binding site or positively affecting transcript stability. Global nitrogen repressor NrpR direct binding.
Source: Rfam by way of RNAcentral